UAUGUUGUCUUUGGCAGCAAAGCUGGCUUGAAAGUUCCCAACACCUCUGACCAAUUUACUGCCCCCUCAGAUGUGUCAGUAAAUGUCUAUGGUUCUGUGCACCAAACUGGGUAACUCAGGUGAUCUGGAGUCAAAAUAAGCAAAUAUACCCAGUACUAAAAGUUUUGGAAAAUGGGGUAAUGUGGGUAAUGUAGGGUACAAGGUAUGAGCUUUGCUGCUGAUAAACAAUAUAGUAUCUAACAACAAGAAAGUUGUGAAAUCUUGAAUACUCAAACGAUGAUACUUGUGUAGCUGUGUCCCCAGUCUUUGGCAAGACUCACCCUGUGCAUCCUGAUAUUAAUUAUUCUGAUCACAUAGAAAGACUAAGAGUAAUGUUUGUAUGUAGGGAAAAUAUAUCUACUAUAGCCAGUGCGUACUUGGUGGAUUAGCAAUCAUCUCCAAUAAAAGGUUUCUUACCAUUGAUUCAUCUCAUAUCAGGUCGCUGUCAAGUUCACAGAAGCUGUUUCACUAAUUUGGAUUUUAACGCCUUUGUUUUUUUACAGAUGAAAGUGCAUGUUCAGCCUGCUGCAGAAUGAGUUUUAAAUGUGGUGUAAGAAGAGAGCUUUUAAUUUCCCAAACAUUGUGGGCUAUUAUUAUAGCUAUAGUAUUUAUCAUAAACCUAACAUGGCUGUUCCCCUAAACAGCUUGUGUUUAAGUUAUGCUUACUUAAAUUAUUGUAAAGGAGAAUACGAAUACUUGUUAAGUUAGUGUAGCGCAUUGCUGUUGGUACUUGUUAUGUUUCAUAGUGUAGUAUGUGUGAGUGGUGUUUUCUGGAUCUACAAGAAGGAAGUGACUGAUAUCAAGUAAGUAAGCUAAAACUAACCAUGGUCUCUGCAGCACCUUGUAUACAACCAAAAGAAAAACAUGAGGAUCUUCAGGACUGUGCAACAGUGAAGGGAAAAUAAAGAAUAAAGCCACUGUAAUGCAAAAAGAAAUGCAUUAGAGGUAUUUCCCCUGCAAUAUUUUAAUGGAUUUAUGAAUUUCUUGAUCAUUUUAUUUAAACAUUCUAGUGCAAUUUCUUUUAGUUUGUUUUAAUGUUCCUAAUCCAGAUCAGCUGCUGAGCAAUGGGAAUAAAUGGUGAUUAUUGGCACACUGCUAGGGUGACUGCACAGAGCUAUAAUGAGGCAUCUGCAAUGUUUUUUUCAGUGUGUAGCAACCAGUUGACCCUGUAGACUGUGGCUAAUGCAAAGCAGAACUGUGCAUUUGGUGGCCGUCAGCAGCUGUGUGGGAGUGGUGUGUAGGUCUCUUGUUUGCUGGCUGAUCUUGAAGUGGCCUUGCUAAAAGCACUCCCUGCCAUUUCUAAAGGAGAUAAAUCUACCUAAAACACUUUGAAGCAGACAUGCUCCUCUGCUUGAAGAAAAGAGAAAGAAAGUGAUUUUCCCUGAACCUCUCAUCAUAAAGCACGUGUUCCUGUUAGUUACAAUUUCCAAGGCAGUGAAAGACCAGCAACAAGCUGCCAGUUUAUCACGUUAGAGCCCCAUUCUGUUCCAGCCCUGCAGCUUCUCAACUCACUGUAACCUACACGUGGUGCUCUGUGGAGAAGAGCCGCACAG
This is a long non-coding RNA of Pezoporus occidentalis (night parrot), 1592 nucleotides long. RefSeq lists it as uncharacterized. NCBI's taxonomy places the organism in Eukaryota, Metazoa, Chordata, Aves, Psittaciformes, Psittacidae. The transcript is spliced from 3 exons. The record is from RefSeq and is a predicted model, not a curated record.